Molecule: long non-coding RNA, 652 nt
Filed under: Phasianus colchicus (ring-necked pheasant)
Lineage: Eukaryota; Metazoa; Chordata; Aves; Galliformes; Phasianidae
Description: lncRNA (ENSPCLG00000017690.1)
Source: RNAcentral
CAGUUAUACAGCUGCUAUGGGGCAGCAGUGGGGCAGCAGUGGGGCAGCAGUGGGGCAGCUAUAGGGCAGUUAUGGGGCAGCUAUAGGGCAGCUAUAGGGCAGCAGUGGGGCAGCUAUAGGGCAGCUGUGGGGCAGCUAUGGGGCAGCUAUAGGGCAGCUAUGGGGCAGCUAUAGGGCCGCUAUGGGGCAGCUAUAGGGCAGCAGUGGGGCAGCAGUGCGGCUGUUGCGCAGGCGUUCCGGCAGCUGUCGCACCGCUUCCAUGGCAAAGGCUCGGGGAAGAUGAAGACGGAGCGGCGCAUGAAGAAACUGGACGAGGAGGCGGUGAGUUUGGGGCCGGAAACGGCGAUUUUGGGCAAAGGGGGACUGGGGGAAAUGUGUGGGGCUGAGCCCCAUAGCUGUGGGUCUGGGGGUCCUGCUGUGGGUCUGGCCCCACACGUGUGGGUCUGGGGGUCCCACUGUGGGUCUGGGGGUCCCGCUAUGGGUCUGGCCCCACACUUGUGGGUCUGGGGUCCUGCUGUGGGUCUGGGAGUCCCGCUAUGGGUCUGGGGUCCCGCUAUGGGUCUGGCCCCACACGUGUGGGUCUGGGGGUCCUGCUAUGGGUCUGGCCCCACACGUGUGGGUCUGGGGGUCCCGCUGUGGGUCUGGCCCCACA